GGCUACCUGGCGCAAUGGUAGCGCGUUUGGCUUCGAUUACCGAGCGGCACCAAACCAAAAGGUUGCAGGUUCGAGUCCUGCGGUGGUCA
Molecule: non-coding RNA, 89 nt
Organism: Hymenopellis radicata
Lineage: Eukaryota; Fungi; Basidiomycota; Agaricomycetes; Agaricales; Physalacriaceae
Source: the annotation of a GenBank genome assembly